GAUGAACGCUGGCGGCGUGCUUAACACAUGCAAGUCGAACGGAAAGGCCCAAGCUUGCUUGGGUACUCGAGUGGCGAACGGGUGAGUAACACGUGGGUGAUCUGCCCUGCACUUCGGGAUAAGCCUGGGAAACUGGGUCUAAUACCGGAUAGGACGAUGGUUUGGAUGCCAUUGUGGAAAGUUUUUUCGGUGUGGGAUGAGCUCGCGGCCUAUCAGCUUGUUGGUGGGGUAAUGGCCUACCAAGGCGUCGACGGGUAGCCGGCCUGAGAGGGUGUACGGCCACAUCGGGACUGAGAUACGGCCCAGACUCCUACGGGAGGCAGCAGUGGGGAAUAUUGCACAAUGGGCGCAAGCCUGAUGCAGCGACGCCGCGUGGGGGAUGACGGCCCUCGGGUUGUAAACUCCUUUCGCUAGGGACGAAGCGUUUUUGUGACGGUACCUGGAGAAGAAGCACCGGCUAACUACGUG
RNAcentral lists this ribosomal RNA (468 nucleotides) under uncultured bacterium. RNAcentral's name for it is "partial 16S ribosomal RNA". It matches the Rfam family "Bacterial small subunit ribosomal RNA", at positions 28 to 507 of the family's 1533-position model. The record is from RNAcentral.